Molecule: ribosomal RNA, 517 nt
Filed under: uncultured bacterium
Lineage: Bacteria
Description: bacterial SSU rRNA
Rfam family: Bacterial small subunit ribosomal RNA
Source: RNAcentral
AGAGUUUGAUCCUGGCUCAGAUUGAACGCUGGCGGCAUGCCUUACACAUGCAAGUCGAACGGCAGCGCGGGGCAACCUGGCGGCGAGUGGCGAACGGGUGAGUAAUAUAUCGGAACAUACCCUAGAGUGGGGGAUAACGUAGCGAAAGUUACGCUAAUACCGCAUACGCACUAAGGUGGAAAGCGGGGGUUCGCAAGACCUCGUGCUCAUGGAGUGGCCGAUAUCUGAUUAGCUAGUUGGUAGGGUAAAAGCCUACCAAGGCGACGAUCAGUAGCUGGUUUGAGAGAACGACCAGCCACACUGGAACUGAGACACGGUCCAGACUCCUACGGGAGGCAGCAGUGGGGAAUUUUGGACAAUGGGGGCAACCCUGAUCCAGCAAUGCCGCGUAAGUGAAGAAGGCCCUCGGGUUGUAAAGCUCUUUUGUCAGGGAAGAAACGGCCUACUCUAAUACAGUGGGCUAAUGACGGUACCUGAAGAAUAAGCACCGGCUAACUACGUGCCAGCAGCCGCGGUA